CAGUAGCCACGGUAAUACGUAGGUGGCAAGCGUUGUCCGGAAUUAUUGGGCGUAAAGGGCUCGCAGGCGGUUUCUUAAGUCUGAUGUGAAAGCCCCCGGCUCAACCGGGGAGGGUCAUUGGAAACCGGGAAGCUUGAGUGCAGAAGAGGAGAGUGGAAUUCCGCGUGUAGCGGUGAAAUGCGUAGAGAUGUGGAGGAACACCAGUGGCGAAGGCGACUCUCUGGUCUGCAACUGACGCUGAGGAGCGAAAGCGUGGGGAGCGAACAGGAUUAGAUACCCCAGUAGUCCCUGUCUCUUAUAC
Molecule: ribosomal RNA, 301 nt
Filed under: uncultured bacterium
Lineage: Bacteria
Description: partial 16S ribosomal RNA
Rfam family: Bacterial small subunit ribosomal RNA
Source: RNAcentral